Molecule: ribosomal RNA, 253 nt
Filed under: uncultured bacterium
Lineage: Bacteria
Description: partial 16S ribosomal RNA
Rfam family: Bacterial small subunit ribosomal RNA
Source: RNAcentral
UACGUAGGGCGCAAGCGUUGUCCGGAAUUAUUGGGCGUAAAGAGCUCGUAGGCGGCUUGUCACGUCGGGUGUGAAAGCCCGGGGCUUAACCCCGGGUCUGCAUUCGAUACGGGCUAGCUAGAGUGUGGUAGGGGAGAUCGGAAUUCCUGGUGUAGCGGUGAAAUGCGCAGAUAUCAGGAGGAACAUUGGUGGCGAAGGUGGGUCUCUGGGCCGAAAUUGACGCCGAGGAGCGAAAGCGUGGGGAGUAAACAGG